GAUAUUGCACAAUGGACGGAAGUCUGAUGCAGCGACGCCGCGUGGGCGAAGAAGGUUUUCGGAUCGUAAAGUCCUUUUCUAUGUGACGAGAUAGGACGGUAGCAUAGGAAUAAGUGUCGGCUAACUACGUGCCAGCAGCCGCGGUAAAACGUAGGACGCGAACGUUAUCCGGAGUUACUGGGCGUAAAGCGCGCGUAGGCGGUUGGACAAGUCUUCUAUGAAAGUUACCGGCUAAACUGGUAGAGUGUAGGAGAAACUGUUUGACUAGAGAGAAAUAGAGGGAAGUAGAAUUCCGGGUGUAGUGGUGAAAUGCGUAGAUAUCCGGAGGAAUACCGGUGGCGAAGGCGGCUUCCUGGAUUUCCACUGACGCUGAUGCGCGAAAGCGUGGGUAGCGAACGGGAUUAGAAACCCCGGUAGUCCACGCUGUA
Molecule: ribosomal RNA, 428 nt
Filed under: uncultured marine bacterium
Lineage: Bacteria
Description: bacterial SSU rRNA
Rfam family: Bacterial small subunit ribosomal RNA
Source: RNAcentral